AUUGAACGCUGGCGGCAUGCUUUACACAUGCAAGUCGGACGGCAGCGGGGUAGUGCUUGCACUACUGCCGGCGAGUGGCGAACGGGUGAGUAAUAUAUUGGAAUGUACUGAGUAAUGGGGGAUAACCAAUCGAAAGAGUGGCUAAUACCGCAUACGCUCUGAGGAGGAAAGCAGGGGAGCUUCGGGCCUUGCGGCUUUCGAGUGGACAUGAUCGGAUUAGCUAGUUGGUGGGGUAAGGGCUUACCAAGGCGACGAGCAGUAGCGGGUCUGAGAGGAUGAUCGGCCACACUGGAACUGAGACACGGCCCAGACUCCUACGGGAGGCAGCAGUGGGGAAUUUUGCACAAUGGGCGCAAGCCUGAUGCAGCCAUGCCGCGUGUCUGAAGAAGGCCUUCGGGUUGUAAAGGUCUUUUGUUAGGGAAGAAAAAGGAGCGGUUAAUACCCGCUUCUGCUGACGGUACCUAAAGAAUAAGCACCGGCUAACUACGUG
This 490-nucleotide ribosomal RNA is filed under the name uncultured bacterium. RNAcentral's name for it is "partial 16S ribosomal RNA". It matches the Rfam family "Bacterial small subunit ribosomal RNA", at positions 30 to 507 of the family's 1533-position model. The record is from RNAcentral.